AUUGAACGCUGGCGGUAGGCCUAACACAUGCAAGUCGAGCGGCUGAACAGAGCUUGCUUGCGCUUUCAGCGGGGGACGGGCGGGUAAUGCCUAGGAACAUGGCUGGCUGCUGGGGCUUAGGUGAGGAAACAGGGACAAAUACGGCAAACGCGCAGACGGACUAAGGGGGGGAGCAUCGGAUCUUACGCCAUCACGCGAGUCGAGGUCGGAUUAGCUAGUUGGCGGGGUAAAGGCCUACCAAGGCGACGAUCCGUAACUGGUCUGAGAGGAUGAUCAGUCACACUGGAACUGAGACACGGUCCAGACUCCUACGGGAGGCAGCAGUGGGGAAUAUUGGACAAUGGGCGAAAGCCUGAUCCAGCCAUGCCGCGUGUGUGAAGAAGGUCUUCGGAUUGUAAAGCACUUUAAUUUGGGAAGAAGGGCAGUAAGUUAAUACCUUGCUGUUUUGACGGUACCAAAAGAAUAAGCACCGGCUAACUUCGUG
Molecule: ribosomal RNA, 484 nt
Filed under: uncultured bacterium
Lineage: Bacteria
Description: partial 16S ribosomal RNA
Rfam family: Bacterial small subunit ribosomal RNA
Source: RNAcentral